GGAACCACUCAGGCUGAGUAUGGGUGGAGAGCAAGGGUGCAACAAGAGCAGUGUUAGUCCCAUUUCUGGUAAACUCUUUUGCUAAGCAAAGGGGUGUUGUUGUCAUUAGCCAUUGCUGUUGAAGCCUUGGUAAGAGCUGUGGAAGCCAAAAGCAAUACCUUAAUGCAGUACAGAAUAAGGCCUGGGAGCUGCUGGUUACAGUUGUUGUACCAUUGGAGAAAGGAAAUUGCUUCAACAUCACUUGAUAAAGCCAGAGGAUGGUACCACUGAGAAGGUGGUACCUUCUACCCUGCUAUGGGAAUUUGUUCAUCCAAAAUUUUCUUGAACUUUGGCAUUCUACAUCCCUGGAUUCAGAGAAGGUAGCCAAGGAUUUCUGCAUCUUUUAAGUCGAAUUUCGACAGUCCCACCCCACCUUGGAGCUGUGCAGCAGUGUAACAGGAG
RNAcentral lists this long non-coding RNA (441 nucleotides) under Cyanistes caeruleus (blue tit). RNAcentral describes it as "lncRNA (ENSCCEG00000004484.1)". Lineage: Eukaryota; Metazoa; Chordata; Aves; Passeriformes; Paridae. The record is from RNAcentral.